GCCCCCGUGGUCCAACGGACACGACACCGCCCUCCGACGGCGGAGAUGCAGGUUCGACUCCUGCCGAGGGCA
RNAcentral lists this transfer RNA (72 nucleotides) under Saccharothrix mutabilis subsp. capreolus. RNAcentral describes it as "tRNA-Arg". It matches the Rfam family "tRNA". Rfam says of the family: Transfer RNA (tRNA) molecules are approximately 80 nucleotides in length. Their secondary structure includes four short double-helical elements and three loops (D, anti-codon, and T loops). The record is from RNAcentral. RNAcentral also lists the same sequence under 3 other names. Lineage: Bacteria; Bacillati; Actinomycetota; Actinomycetes; Pseudonocardiales; Pseudonocardiaceae.